GGGUACGGAAUAACUCAGAGAAAUUUGUGCUAAUACCGUAUAAUGUCUUCGGACCAAAGAUUUAUCGCCCAAGGAUGAGCCCGCGUAAGAUUAGCUAGUUGGUGGGGUAAAAGCCUACCAAGGCGACGAUCUUUAGCUGGUCUGAGAGGAUGAUCAGCCACACUGGGACUGAGACACGGCCCAGACUCCUACGGGAGGCAGCAGUGGGGAAUAUUGGACAAUGGGCGAAAGCCUGAUCCAGCAAUGCCGCGUGAGUGAUGAAGGCCUUAGGGUUGUAAAGCUCUUUUACCAGGGAUGAUAAUGACAGUACCUGGAGAAUAAGCUCCGGCUAACUCCGUGCCAGCAGCCGCGGUAAUACGGAGGGAGCUAGCGUUGUUCGGAAUUACUGGGCGUAAAGCGCGCGUAGGCGGUUUUUUAAGUCAGAGGUGAAAGCCCAGUGCUCAACACUGGAACUGCCUUUGAAACUGGGAAAACUUGAAUCUUGGAGAGGUCAGUGGAAUUCCGAGU
RNAcentral lists this ribosomal RNA (507 nucleotides) under Sphingopyxis chilensis. RNAcentral's name for it is "bacterial SSU rRNA". It matches the Rfam family "Bacterial small subunit ribosomal RNA", at positions 134 to 674 of the family's 1533-position model. Lineage: Bacteria; Pseudomonadati; Pseudomonadota; Alphaproteobacteria; Sphingomonadales; Sphingopyxidaceae. The record is from RNAcentral.